UUUCCGUAGGUGAACCUGCGGAAGGAUCAUUACAGAGUUCAUGCCCUCACGGGUAGAUCUCCCACCCUUGAAUAUUUAUACCUUAGUUGCUUUGGCAGGCCGGGGAAACACCAUGGGCUCCGGCUUAUGCGUGCCUGCCAGAGGAAACAAACUCUGUUUUUAGUGAUGUCUGAGUACUAUAUAAUAGUUAAAACUUUCAACAACGGAUCUCUUGGUUCUGGCAUCGAUGGAGAACGCAGC
Molecule: unclassified non-coding RNA, 240 nt
Filed under: plant metagenome
Description: partial contains small subunit ribosomal RNA, internal transcribed spacer 1, and 5.8S ribosomal RNA
Rfam family: 5.8S ribosomal RNA (bases 192-240)
Source: RNAcentral